This 484-nucleotide ribosomal RNA is filed under the name uncultured bacterium. RNAcentral's name for it is "partial 16S ribosomal RNA". It matches the Rfam family "Bacterial small subunit ribosomal RNA", at positions 30 to 507 of the family's 1533-position model. The record is from RNAcentral.
AUUGAACGCUGGCGGCAGGCCUAACACAUGCCAGUCGAGCGGAUGAAGGGAGCUUGCUCCUGGAUUCAGCGGCGGACGGGUGAGUAAUGCCUAGGAAUCUGCCUGGUAGUGGGGGAUAACGUCCGGAAACGGGCGCUAAUACCGCAUACGUCCUGAGGGAGAAAGUGGGGGAUCUUCGGACCUCACGCUAUCAGAUGAGCCUAGGUCGGAUUAGCUAGUUGGUGGGGUAAAGGCCUACCAAGGCGACGAUCCGUAACUGGUCUGAGAGGAUGAUCAGUCACACUGGAACUGAGACACGGUCCAGACUCCUACGGGAGGCAGCAGUGGGGAAUAUUGGACAAUGGGCGAAAGCCUGAUCCAGCCAUGCCGCGUGCGUGAAGAAGGUCUUCGGAUUGUAAAGCACUUUAAGUUGGGAGGAAGGGCAGUAAGUUAAUACCUUGCUGUUUUGACGGUACCAACAGAAUAAGCACCGGCUAACUUCGUG